Molecule: ribosomal RNA, 386 nt
Filed under: uncultured bacterium
Lineage: Bacteria
Description: bacterial SSU rRNA
Rfam family: Bacterial small subunit ribosomal RNA
Source: RNAcentral
AUUGAACGCUGGCGGCAUGCCUUACACAUGCAAGUCGAACGGCAGCACGGGGGCAACCCUGGUGGCGAGUGGCGAACGGGUGAGUAAUACAUCGGAACGUGUCCAGUAGCGGGGGAUAACCCGGCGAAAGCCGGACUAAUACCGCAUACGACCUACGGGUGAAAGCAGGGGAUCGCAAGACCUUGCGCUAUCGGAGCGGCCGAUGUCAGAUUAGCUAGUUGGUGGGGUAAAAGCCCACCAAGGCGACGAUCUGUAGCUGGUCUGAGAGGACGACCAGCCACACUGGGACUGAGACACGGCCCAGACUCCUACGGGAGGCAGCAGUGGGGAAUUUUGGACAGUGGGCGCAAGCCUGAUCCAGCCAUGCCGCGUGCGGGAAGAAGGCC